Molecule: ribosomal RNA, 722 nt
Filed under: Vibrio cholerae
Lineage: Bacteria; Pseudomonadati; Pseudomonadota; Gammaproteobacteria; Vibrionales; Vibrionaceae
Description: partial 23S ribosomal RNA
Rfam family: Bacterial large subunit ribosomal RNA
Source: RNAcentral
GACUGCGUACCUUUUGUAUAAUGGGUCAGCGACUUAUAUUCAGUGGCAAGGUUAACCGUAUAGGGGAGCCGUAGCGAAAGCGAGUCUUAACUGGGCGCUCAGUCUCUGGAUAUAGACCCGAAACCGGGUGAUCUAGCCAUGGGCAGGUUGAAGGUUGAGUAACAUCAACUGGAGGACCGAACCGACUAAUGUUGAAAAAUUAGCGGAUGACUUGUGGCUAGGGGUGAAAGGCCAAUCAAACUCGGAGAUAGCUGGUUCUCCCCGAAAGCUAUUUAGGUAGCGCCUCGGACGAAUACUACUGGGGGUAGAGCACUGUUAAGGCUAGGGGGUCAUCCCGACUUACCAACCCUUUGCAAACUCCGAAUACCAGUAAGUACUAUCCGGGAGACACACGGCGGGUGCUAACGUCCGUCGUGGAGAGGGAAACAACCCAGACCGCCAGCUAAGGUCCCAAAGUAUUGCUAAGUGGGAAACGAUGUGGGAAGGCUCAGACAGCUAGGAUGUUGGCUUAGAAGCAGCCAUCAUUUAAAGAAAGCGUAAUAGCUCACUAGUCGAGUCGGCCUGCGCGGAAGAUGUAACGGGGCUAAGCAAUACACCGAAGCUGCGGCAAUGUCUUUUAGACAUUGGGUAGGGGAGCGUUCUGUAAGCCGUUGAAGGUGAAUCGUAAGGUUUGCUGGAGGUAUCAGAAGUGCGAAUGCUGACAUGAGUAACGACAAAGGGGG